AUGAUCGUUCUCAUCCAUGAAAUGUUUCAUCAUAGCUUUGGCUGUUACUGGUCUAAAGCAACCAGGGAACAUUAUUCUCUGAUCACAUUUUAUUUUGUGAUUAUUUAUUUCUGUUUUCUUUUUUUCUUAGGCAAAAUGAGAGUCUUUGAAUGCAAACAGUGCAAAGCAGAACAGUGGAUCAGUUCUUGCAUGAAAUAUAUGUGCCAAAAUGGUAGCAAAGAAGAGAUUCAGAUUCCACUAAUGGAAAGUUUUGGAAUAGAAGGGAUUGAGAGACACUGCCAUAGUUUGCUUAAAAAUGAGACAGAGCAUUUUCAUUACUCCUGAAGGCUUUUAUUCAAGACAUACAAAAG
Molecule: long non-coding RNA, 350 nt
Filed under: Meleagris gallopavo (turkey)
Lineage: Eukaryota; Metazoa; Chordata; Aves; Galliformes; Phasianidae
Description: lncRNA (ENSMGAG00000020609.1)
Source: RNAcentral